Molecule: long non-coding RNA, 516 nt
Filed under: Sinocyclocheilus anshuiensis
Lineage: Eukaryota; Metazoa; Chordata; Actinopteri; Cypriniformes; Cyprinidae
Description: lncRNA (ENSSANG00000036174.1)
Source: RNAcentral
CAAGUAACCUACAUACAUAGAAGUUUCCUGUCGGCGCGUUAUUUGAGCGGACUUUGCUUUUCCGGCGAGCGGGAAAACCGACCGACGAGUGCGGGCAACACACGACGACAGGGGGCGACGAGGAGUAGGCCUAAUUGCCUUCUAAAACUCAGGAAACAGCGACAGCGAAGCAGAUUCAGAACGACUGUCGCCAACUUUGAAACUACCAAACGCGUCUUCACUGCACAAGCCUGGAAACUCUUCCAUUUUCAUCAACGAAGCUGUCAAAGGCAGCGCCCAGUCGCGUCGCGUCGAGUCCCUGAUGUCCGUGAAUACUUCCUGGUCCAAAGUGUUGACGCGUCGCAAACAUGAUACGAACAGAUGAACAUCAUUCGUGCAAUGGAACCCUGAAGUGUCAUUCUGACCAGAAACAACAGGAAAGCAACAGUUUGAAAAAUGGAUAUCACAGAAAAGAAACGGUAAGUCAAAGUGCAUCACUUCUGCUAAAUGCGUCAAGUUAAACGUGUUAUUCUAAAA